RNAcentral lists this ribosomal RNA (468 nucleotides) under uncultured bacterium. RNAcentral describes it as "partial 16S ribosomal RNA". It matches the Rfam family "Bacterial small subunit ribosomal RNA", at positions 28 to 507 of the family's 1533-position model. The record is from RNAcentral.
GACGAACGCUGGCGGCGUGCUUAACACAUGCAAGUCGAACGGAAAGGCCCUGCUUUUGUGGGGUGCUCGAGUGGCGAACGGGUGAGUAACACGUGAGUAACCUGCCCUUGACUUUGGGAUAACUUCAGGAAACUGGGGCGAAUACCGGAUAGGAGCUCCUGCUGCAUGGUGGGGGUUGGAGAGUUUCGGCGGUUGGGGAUGGACUCGCGGCUUAUCAGCUGGUUGGGGGGGUAGUGGCUGACCAAGGCUGUGACGGGUAGCCGGCCUGAGAGGGUGACCGGCCACCUUGGGCCUGAGAUACGGCCCAGACUCCUACGGGAGGCAGCAGUGGGGAGUAUUGCAGAAUGGGCGGAAGCCUGAUGCAGCAACGCCGCGUGCGGGAUACUGGGCUUCGGGGUGUAAACCGAUUUCGCCUGUGCCGAAGCGGGCGUGACGGUAAUGGGUAAAGAAGCACCGGCUAACUACGUG